UGGGGAAUAUUGCACAAUGGGCGAAAGCCUGAUGCAGCAACGCCGCGUGAGUGAUGAAGGCCUUCGGGUUGUAAAGCUCUGUCUUUUGGGACGAUAAUGACGGUACCAAAGGAGGAAGCCACGGCUAACUACGUGCCAGCAGCCGCGGUAAUACGUAGGUGGCAAGCGUUGUCCGGAUUUACUGGGCGUAAAGGAUGCGUAGGCGGAUUUUUAAGUGAGAUGUGAAAACCCUAAGCUUAACUUGGGGACUGCAUUUCAUACUGGAAAUCUAGAGUGCGGGAGGGGAGAAUGGAAUUCCUAGUGUAGCGGUGAAAUGCGUAGAGAUUAGGAAGAACACCAGUGGCGAAGGCGAUUCUCUGGACCGUAACUGACGCUGAGGCAUGAAAGCGUGGGUAGCAAACAGGAUUAGAUACCCUGGUAGUCCACGCCGUAAACGAUGAGUACUAGGUGUAGGAGGUAUCGACCCCUUCUGUGCCGCAGUUAACACAAUAAGUACUCCGCCUGGGAAGUACGAUCGCAAGAUUAAAAACUUAAAUGAAUUGACGGGGGUCAUAGCUGUUUCCU
Molecule: ribosomal RNA, 564 nt
Filed under: uncultured bacterium
Lineage: Bacteria
Description: partial 16S ribosomal RNA
Rfam family: Bacterial small subunit ribosomal RNA
Source: RNAcentral